AAUUAGAUUGAUUCUGUCUAAUUUUGGAUUGGCUUUAUUGAUUUAUUAUUACAUGCAUAUUUUUGUUGUGUUUUUGAUUAUUAGGCUAAAUGCUUGUAUUUAUAUUUAAUUCGCAGUUUUUAAUUUUAUUUUUUAACUUUUAGUUAGAAUUAGAUAAUUAAUUUUGGGAUUGUUUAUUAUUGUGCCAGCAAACGCGGUUAUACAAUUAAUUCUAGUCAAUUAUUAUUCUGUUUGUAUUAUUUAUUUAUGUUGCGGAUAAUUUGUAUUAUUAUUAAGUGAAAUUUUAAUAUAUUAUGUUCUGUUGGUUUAAUAUUUAUAUGAAAGUCAUUAUUUAAACUAGGAUUAGAUACCCUAUUAUUUUGUACAGUAAUUUUUAGAUAUAGUAUUAAUAGUUAUGAUCUUUAAAUUAAAAGAAUUUGGCGGUAAUUUAAUCUUUUCAGAGGAACCUGUUCUGUAAUCGAUAAUCCACGUUGAAUUUUACUUUAAUUAUGGUUUAUAUAUCUCUGUCAUUGAAUGUUUUAUAAGAAUAAUUUUCCUAUAGUAUUUAUUUAAUUAAUGUCAGGUCAAGGUGUAACUAUAUUGAAGGUUGAAAUGGGUUACAUUUAAUGUUUAUUUAUUGGAUUUGUAUUUUAAUUGUAAUUUUUUAAUUAAAUAGGAUUUGAAAGUAAAGGUUAAUUUAUAUAUUUUCCUUGAUUUAAUUUUUGGCUCUAAAUUAUGCACACAUCGCCCGUCACUCUCGUUAUUUAUUAAAUGAGAUAAGUCGUAACAAAGUAAUUCUACUGGAAGGUGGGAUUUGAAAUAU
Molecule: non-coding RNA, 802 nt
Filed under: Dinomachus sikhimensis
Lineage: Eukaryota; Metazoa; Arthropoda; Insecta; Hemiptera; Heterogastridae
Source: RNAcentral